AUAAUUCCUCUUUUCUUUCCUCAAAUAUAGCUCGUAUAUCUUCUUCCAAGCAACACUCACAUGCAAUCGUAUAUCUCUUUAUUCUAUUUCUACUAAAGGGAUUAUCUGAAUCUGGUACUGUAAUAAGCUUUUUACCUACCAUUUGUCUAUUUAGCCUCACUCCAUGUAAAUUAUUAACUUUCUCCCAACAAUCUUCACUAGACAAUACUUGUGCGAUAAAAUUCUGCCCUAUUUCAAUACUUCUCUGAUGUAAAUUCCAAUGCGCAUAGCACCAGUGUUCUAUUUGAAGGAGCUUAGAUGCCCUAUAAGGAUCAUCCUCCUUAAUAAAUGAAAAUAAAAUUUCUGGAAUAUCUGAACGUGAUAUAAACAUAGGGACUACCU
Molecule: non-coding RNA, 381 nt
Organism: Cinara cedri
Lineage: Eukaryota; Metazoa; Arthropoda; Insecta; Hemiptera; Aphididae
Source: the annotation of a GenBank genome assembly